UACAGAGGGUGCAAGCGUUAAUCGGAAUUACUGGGCGUAAAGGGAGCGUAGGUGGCUCUAUAAGUCAGAUGUGAAAUCCCCGGGCUCAACCUGGGAACUGCAUCUGAAACUGUAGAGCUAGAGUAUGUGAGAGGAAGGUAGAAUUCCAGGUGUAGCGGUGAAAUGCGUAGAGAUCUGGAGGAAUACCGAUGGCGAAGGCAGCCUUCUGGCAUAAUACUGACACUGAGGCUCGAAAGCGUGGGUAGCAAACAGG
This 253-nucleotide ribosomal RNA is filed under the name uncultured bacterium. Its description in RNAcentral is "partial 16S ribosomal RNA". It matches the Rfam family "Bacterial small subunit ribosomal RNA", at positions 524 to 776 of the family's 1533-position model. The record is from RNAcentral.